GUCGGAAUUGCUAGUAAUCGCGGAUCAGCAUGCCGCGGUGAAUACGUUCCCGGGCCUUGUACACACCGCCCGUCACACCAUGGGGGCCGGGUAAUACCCGAAGUCAGUAGUCCAACCUCGUGAGGACGCUGCCGAAGGUAGGAUUGGCGACUGGGGUGAAGUCGUAACAAGGUAAC
This 176-nucleotide ribosomal RNA is filed under the name uncultured bacterium. Its description in RNAcentral is "partial 16S ribosomal RNA". It matches the Rfam family "Bacterial small subunit ribosomal RNA", at positions 1325 to 1500 of the family's 1533-position model. The record is from RNAcentral.